CGCUAUCGGGGAGCUAUUGCACGCAAGAGAAUUCGCCUAGGCAGAAAAUAUGUUAUUUCCCACAAAGAAGAGAUUCCACUUUGCAUACACUGGGAUAUCAGCAAGCAGAUAAAAAUAUAUACUCUGGAAGAGCAUGAUGUUUUAUCUGUUUGGGUUGAAAAGCACGUGGGAAGUCCAGCACAUUUGGCUUAUCAUCUCUUGUCUGACUUUACAAAGCGACCUUUGUGGGACCCCCAUUUUGUGUCCUGUGAAGUCAUAGACUGGGUGAGUGAAGACGAUCAGCUGUAUCACAUCACCUGUCCUAUACUGAAUGAUGACAAACCCAAAGACUUGGUAGUACUCGUAUCACGAAGAAAACCCCUCAAAGAUGGUAACACUUACACAGUGGCAGUGAAGUCGGUCAUUUUGCCAUCGGUCCCCCCGUCUCCACAGUACAUCAGAAGUGAAAUCAUAUGUGCCGGAUUUCUCAUCCAUGCUAUUGACAGCAAUUCAUGCAUCGUAUCUUACUUUAACCAUAUGUCUGCAAGCAUCCUUCCUUACUUUGCUGGAAAUCUUGGUGGCUGGUCGAAAUCCAUUGAAGAAACAGCAGCCUCUUGUAUACAGUUCUUAGAGAAUCCUCCUGAUGAUGGGUUUGUAAGCACAUUUUAAAGGUCAACUUUCAAUUACUGGUAAUUUAAUUU
Molecule: small RNA, 680 nt
Filed under: Pan troglodytes (chimpanzee)
Lineage: Eukaryota; Metazoa; Chordata; Mammalia; Primates; Hominidae
Description: processed transcript
Source: RNAcentral